Molecule: ribosomal RNA, 497 nt
Filed under: uncultured bacterium
Lineage: Bacteria
Description: partial 16S ribosomal RNA
Rfam family: Bacterial small subunit ribosomal RNA
Source: RNAcentral
AUUGAACGCUGGCGGCAUGCCUUACACAUGCAAGUCGAACAGUAACAGGUCUUCGGAUGCUGACGAGUGGCGAACGGGUGAGUAAUACAUCGGAACGUGCCUAGUAGUGGGGGAUAACUACUCGAAAGAGUGGCUAAUACCGCAUGAGAUCUACGGAUGAAAGCAGGGGAUCGCAAGACCUUGUGCUACUAGAGCGCCGAUGGCAGAUUAGGUAGUUGGUGGGAUAAAAGCUUACCAAGCCGACGAUCUGUAGCUGGUCUGAGAGGACGAUCAGCCACACUGGGACUGAGACACGGCCCAGACUCCUACGGGAGGCAGCAGUGGGGAAUUUUGGACAAUGGGCGCAAGCCUGAUCCAGCAAUGCCGCGUGCAGGAUGAAGGCCUUCGGGUUGUAAACUGCUUUUGUACGGAACGAAAAGCCCCGGGUUAAUACCCUGGGGUCAUGACGGUACCGUAAGAAUAAGCACCGGCUAACUACGUGCCAGCCGCCGCCGUAA